AUGACUUCUUGUUUAUGGCCUGGGCCUCUUCAAGCGUUGGAGAUAGGCCCAGGCCAACAUCACUUCUUCAUUAGGCCCAGGCCUCUUCAAGGGUCAGGGAUAGGCCCAGGCCCACAUCACUUCUUGCUUUUGGCCUGGGCCUCUUCAAGGGUUGGGAUAGGCCCAGGCCCACAUCACUUCUUAUUAGGCCCAGGCUUCUUCAAGGUUGGGAAUAUGCGCAGGCCCACGUCGCUUCUGGCCUUUGGCCCAGGCCCAUAUCACUUCUUCAUUAGGCCUGGGCCUCUUCAAGGGUCAGGGAUAGGCCCAGGCCCACAUCACUUCUUGCUUUUGGCCCAGGCCUCUUCAAGGGUUGGGGAUAGGCCCAGGCACACAUCACUUCUUCAUUGGGAAUAGGCCCAGGUCCACAUAACUUCUUGCUUUUGGCCUGGGCCUCUUCAAGGGUUGGGGAUAGGCCAAGGCACACAUCACUUCUUCAUUAGGCCUAGGCCUCUUCAAUGGUUCAGGAUUGGCCCAGGCCCAAAAUACUUCAUUAGGCCCAGGCCUCUUCAAGGGACAGGGAAAGGCCCAGGCCCACAUCAAUUCUUGUUUGUGGCCUGGGCCUCUUCAAAGGUUGGGGAUAGGCCCAGGCCCACAUCACUUCUUCAUUAGGCCCAGGCCUCUUCAAGGGUAAGGGAUACGCCCAGGCCCACGUCACUUCUUCAUUAGGCCCAGGCCUCUUCAAGGGUCAGGGAUAGGCCCAGGCCCAUAUCGCUUCUUGCAUUAGGCCCGGGCCUCUUCCAGGGUCAGGGAUAGGCCUAGGCCCACAUCUAUACUUCUUUUGCACCUGACCUCCUUCAAGUUCAGUUUGCCCAAGCACAUACUUUUUUUCUGGUUUGUUUGACCAGCCCUGUUUCUUUUCAUUCCUACUUAUCUAGGUCCAGAAAUCUUCAGGAUCAGGGUAUCUGAUUCUAUUUAGGAUUUAAAUAGAGUAUACUUUUGAGUUCAUAGUUUUCCAAAGCUACUUUGUUGUUAGCCUUGAUUUAUGAUCAAUAUUCCUGGGGAUGAAAGACAGAUAUUGAUAGACAUAUUUAGUAUCCUUCUCUGGCAUCUCAAAUGUACUCAGAUCAUCAUUGACCUAUCCUCUAGGAAACAUGCUCAGACAUUGACACAUAUAGCUUACAGUCCAGGUAGAACAAAUUAUACAUUAUACAAAUAGAAAUAUUAAUAAAAGGCUGGCUGGGCAAGCCCA
This 1228-nucleotide long non-coding RNA is filed under the name Mus spicilegus (steppe mouse). RNAcentral's name for it is "lncRNA (ENSMSIG00000000136.1)". Lineage: Eukaryota; Metazoa; Chordata; Mammalia; Rodentia; Muridae. The record is from RNAcentral.